UUGCCUCAGCCUCCUUCAAAGCUGAGAUGACAGAUGUGCUACCAAUCCCAGCUUCUAUUCCCGAAUUUCAUAUUAACGGAAGUUUGUACGGCUGGUACUCACAUUUACACAGCAGUUAAAAUGAUUUUGUUAACAGUAUUGUAAACUGUACCUAGAGAAACAAGUUUGUUCCCAAGACUCUGGCAAAACCCCAGGCUGAGACCUUAGAAGGGGAAGAACUUGGCAGGGUGAAGUUGAUAAAGACGCAGGUGAUUCCUUCUCAGGGAGAGGGGUCAGAGGCAGGCCUGUGGGAGGAGCUAGGCCAGAAGCCAUGACAGGGCCCCUGGACAGAUGGACGUGGUGUCCCUGUCAGAGGCCUGGUUUUGCAGGGGCUGCUGAGGACCUAAGUCCUCCAGAGCAGGCCAGUUGCAUGCACAGUUCUCUGCAGGACGCUGCUGGGGAGGGAAGACCUUGGGUACCCAUCUGCCUUUCCCGUGGAGAGCUCAUACCAGUGGCAGGCUGCUGGGAGAGAAUGAGGCCUGCAGAGGCCCCAUCAGCCAGCUGAGCACAUACUCCGCCACAGCCCCUCUGUAUGGCCACAGCCCCUCUGCAUGGCCUGACCGGCCCACACAGAGACUGCGUCCACUCACUGUGCAGCAGAACUCCCAGUCCACACUCUCUCCCUCAGGUCUGCUCUUGAUGUUGCUGUAUUUCAUUCAAGGUGGGUCGAGAACUGGGAGGAUUCAGGGAAGGGGUCUCUGGGGUCCUGGUUAGUGUGAACCGUCAACUUGACAGAGCGAACAGUCAUCCCAGAGGAAAGCUUCCAUGGAGAAAUUGCCUAGAUCAGAUUGGCCUGCAGGCCCGUCCUGGGGGAUCGUCUGGAUUGUUGACUGGUCUAGGACGGCCCAGCCCACAGUGGGCGGCACCACUCCCGGAGCGGGUGGUUCUGGGCUGUGUAAGAAAGCUAAUCUUGAGCUAGUGAGCCAGCAACAGAGUUCCUCCAUGGUUUCUGCCUCCAGAUUCCUGUCUCCGUUCCUGCUCUGACUGCCCUCAGUGAUGGAUUGUGACCCAGACGUAAAGAAUUAAAGCCAUGAGAUGGGAAGAGCAUGAAAUGUGUGGCUGGUGGCCAUGAGACCCUCAGUGAUGCUGGAAGUGGAUCCUGCCUUGAUGGACUGUCAGACACUAACUUCGAGAUCCCUCCCAACUCUAUUGCAUCUGUAUUGGGGAUUGAUUUAUCAUAAAGGGAGCUGGUCAGAUUUCUGAGCCAAGGAAGCAGGACAGAGGACAGAGGACGAGCUGGGCUGGAGACAGCCGCAAACACCCACCUUCAAUCAGAAGACACAAAUGAAACCCGGUCAACAUUUUCCCAAACUCUACUUGGACCCCAAGAUCAUCCUCUUGAAGGCCUUUAUACAUCGUCUGAACUGGGCAGGGGCCAGCCACAGAGCCUGUUCUUGCUGUUGUGAGCAGUGACAGGCCACCUGAGCUCAAAGAGGAGGGAACAGAGGCCAGGAGACACUGGAGAUGGAGAACCACUUAGUCCUGGCAGGGAAGUGCACCCAUGUCCUGCAAUGCCUGUGGAGGUCAG
Molecule: long non-coding RNA, 1567 nt
Organism: Nannospalax galili (Upper Galilee mountains blind mole rat)
Lineage: Eukaryota; Metazoa; Chordata; Mammalia; Rodentia; Spalacidae
Exons: 4
Source: RefSeq, a predicted model, not a curated record